Molecule: ribosomal RNA, 482 nt
Filed under: uncultured bacterium
Lineage: Bacteria
Description: partial 16S ribosomal RNA
Rfam family: Bacterial small subunit ribosomal RNA
Source: RNAcentral
AUUGAACGCUGGCGGCAUGCUUUACACAUGCAAGUCGAACGGUAACAGGCCGCAAGGUGCUGACGAGUGGCGCACGGGUGAGUAAUGCAUCGGAACGUGCCCAGUCGUGGGGGAUAACUACUCGAAAGAGUAGCUAAUACCGCAUACGAUCUAUGGAUGAAAGCGGGGGACCGUAAGGCCUCGCGCGAUUGGAGCGGCCGAUGUCAGAUUAGGUAGUUGGUGGGGUAAAGGCUCACCAAGCCAACGAUCUGUAGCUGGUCUGAGAGGACAACCAGCCACACUGGGACUGAGACACGGCCCAGACUCCUACGGGAGGCAGCAGUGGGGAAUUUUGGACAAUGGGCGCAAGCCUGACCCAGCAAUGCCGCGUGCAGGAAGAAGGCCUUCGGGUUGUAAACUGCUUUUGUACGGAACGAAACGGCUCUGGUUAAUACCCGGGGCUAAUGACGGUACCGGAAGAAUAAGCACCGGCUAACUACGUG